This 804-nucleotide ribosomal RNA is filed under the name uncultured archaeon. RNAcentral's name for it is "bacterial SSU rRNA". It matches the Rfam family "Archaeal small subunit ribosomal RNA", at positions 35 to 824 of the family's 1478-position model. The record is from RNAcentral.
UGGGUGAGGAUAAGCCAUGCGAGUUGAAUGGGAUACCUAAAGUUCCCAUGGCAAACUGCUCAGUAACAUAUGAUCAACUUACCCUAUGGAGAAAAAUAACCUCGGGAAACUGAGGAUAAUGUUUCAUAGUUGAAUUGGCUUGGAAAAGUUUUUCGACGAAAGGGGUAAAAAAAAUGGUUUUUAUCUGCUAUAGGAUAGGAUCGUGUUCGAUUAUGGUUGUUGGUGAGGUAAUGGCUCACCAAGCCGAUAAUCGAUAGGGGCCGUGAGAGCGGGAGCCCCGAGAUGGGUACUGAGACAACGACCCAGGCCUUACGAGGCGCAGCAGGCGCGAAACCUCCGCAAUACACGAAAGUGUGACGGGGUUACCCAAAGUGUUCAAUUUUGAACUGUGGUAGGUGAGUAAUGUUCCCUACUAGAAAGGAGAGGGCAAGGCUGGUGCCAGCCGCCGCGGUAAAACCAGCUCUUCAAGUGGUCGGGAUAAUUAUUGGGCUUAAAGUGUCCGUAGCCGGUUUAGUAAGUUCCUGGUAAAAUCGGGUAGCUUAACUAUCUAUAUGCUAGGAAUACUACUAUACUAGAGGGCGGGAGAGGUCUGAGGUACUGCAGGGGUAGGGGUGAAAUCUUAUAAUCCUUGUUGGACCACCAGUGGCGAAGGCGUCAGACUGGAACGCGCCUGACGGUGAGGGACGAAAGCCAGGGGAGCGAACCGGAUUAGAUACCCGGGUAGUCCUGACCGUAAACGAUGCAUACCAGGUGAUGGCACGGCCAUGAGCCGUGUCAGUGCCGUAGGGAAACCGUUAAGUGUGC